This 62-nucleotide transfer RNA is filed under the name Ctenocephalides orientis. Its description in RNAcentral is "tRNA-Leu". The record is from RNAcentral. Lineage: Eukaryota; Metazoa; Arthropoda; Insecta; Siphonaptera; Pulicidae.
GUUAUUUUGGCAGAUUAGUGUAAUGAAUUUAGAAUUCAUAAAUGUAUAUUAUACAAAUAAUA